This 21-nucleotide unclassified non-coding RNA is filed under the name Mus musculus (house mouse). RNAcentral describes it as "oocyte_clustered_small_RNA10019". The record is from RNAcentral. Lineage: Eukaryota; Metazoa; Chordata; Mammalia; Rodentia; Muridae.
UGGAUUAGCAAACGUGGAUAU